Regulatory RNA element from Synechococcus sp., 62 nucleotides. It matches the Rfam family "Glutamine-II riboswitch aptamer". From Rfam's summary of the family: The major groove of the PK provides the binding site for L-glutamine NCBI's taxonomy places the organism in Bacteria, Bacillati, Cyanobacteriota, Cyanophyceae, Synechococcales, Synechococcaceae. The record is from Rfam.
GCACGUUCACCUCACCACUGGCGAGGCGCAGUUCGACUCAGGCCAUGGAACGGGGACCUGAG